RNAcentral lists this transfer RNA (63 nucleotides) under Opisthorchis felineus. Its description in RNAcentral is "tRNA-Gln". Lineage: Eukaryota; Metazoa; Platyhelminthes; Trematoda; Opisthorchiida; Opisthorchiidae. The record is from RNAcentral.
UACAGUUUGGUGUAAUCAGCAUUCUACGUUUUGGUUGUGGGGGUAAUUUGAUGUUAGCUGUAA